CUUCAGGAAAACUCCAUGGAGAUAUUCAAACUAACUGCAGAGUAGCAGAAAAGAGUUAAACGGCAGAAUCACCUGAUUUGCUUUUCGCCUCCCGAGUUUUUCCUUAGAAUGAGAAAUAGUUUCCUGUCCGCUUUUGAAAGAAACAACUUCAAAACCUUUGUGGCUGGGAUGGCAUCAUGCUCUGCGCAGCCCAGGUUCAGCUGGACCGAGAUGCAGCCACCAUCAGCAAGACAAAGGCAGAGAUAAUGAAAACGGGAACUAACCCAAAGAAUUAAGGGGACCGAGCAGCAUCAGAUGAGAGCUGAAAGGAAAACCCGGCUGGUGUUUCCGAGCACUGCAUGCUCAUCUCCGCCGCAAGUGACCGGUUUCAUCGCAGGAUGUCCGGAGGGCUUCCUCGAAUCUGAACUGCAAAGGCCAAUCAGCUCAGAUAACCAGUGUCUCCUCAGGGAAGAGAGCCAGGUACCUCCGCAGUGGGAUUUAGAAAAGGAAACACCUGUUGGCACUCAAGCAGCCUUUAUUAAACUCCAGCCAGAUCCCACCUACUAUGCUGAUCUUCUUCACCUGGGAUGCUUCCAACAAGAUGAGGUAAAUUAAUGCCCAAGAGACCUUUAUUUCUUCUUUUCUCUAAGUUUGCUAUUUCAAUGCUGGUAAGAUUAUUAUUAGGAAAUUAGGGUUUCUUUCUAUCAUGAUCACAGUGUGAUUUCAUGUACUCACCUGUACUCUCAAGUUUAUGAACUUUGUGCAGAACCUGGUCUUUAGCAGCUCCUCCAUAUUUUGUUCUUUCAGUUAAAAACUUUGAAUUAAAUACUUACAGCCUUUAGCAAUAAGGAAGAGUUAAAAGCUACAGAAAUAACCCAGACCUAAGCAAAAUCACCUGCUCCUGCUUUUUGACUUGCAUUGUGAUUGUAGUUGCUGUGCAGAUCAUUUUCUGCAUGGAAUUUUCUUAGCAAUGGUGUUAACAAUUGGCCCAGAUCUAGACCCUAACAUUAACUCAUGUUUUGGUUCAUAUGAUUGCUAAAAAAAAGGGGGAAAAUAAUCUGCUCAUUGGUUAAACCAAGCUAAAAGAGUGUUGCAAUUUAAAAUGCCUAAACUUUAUAAUUCUUCCUCUACAAGAAUCAGCAGAAUCUGACCAAUGCUACCUAGUGAACAACCUCCUGUUUUUAUCAUGGUCUGACUAUAAUAUGGGAUUGUAGCAUCUGGCCGAUGAGUAGCUGGCUGUUUUGUGACAGGCCACAAAUAAUCCUGACCCCAUGUAUUUGUAGAGAUACUGGAAUUUAAUCAAUUUACUCAUCAAAAUUGUAUUCACUUGUUUGAUUAGCAAAACUAAUUACAGUCAGGAUUUGAUGGCUGUACUAGGUAAAGGCUCCAACUUUCAGUCCUGAAUGUUUGGAAACCUGGAGAGAAAAAGGGAAAAACAUAAGUUUGAAAAAUUAUCCUACCUAUGAGACCAUCUCUAUGUCAAAAGGAAGGCUCUGAUUACUUCUACUGGCAGAAGAAAGGCAAGUUACAAAGGUAGUUAGUGCAGGUAAAAGACAGCUUGUGGUGC
Molecule: long non-coding RNA, 1546 nt
Filed under: Junco hyemalis (dark-eyed junco)
Lineage: Eukaryota; Metazoa; Chordata; Aves; Passeriformes; Passerellidae
Description: lncRNA (ENSJHYG00000011809.1)
Source: RNAcentral